Molecule: ribosomal RNA, 253 nt
Filed under: uncultured bacterium
Lineage: Bacteria
Description: partial 16S ribosomal RNA
Rfam family: Bacterial small subunit ribosomal RNA
Source: RNAcentral
UACGUAGGGCGCAAGCGUUGUCCGGAUUUAUUGGGCGUAAAGAGCUCGUAGGCGGUCUGUCGCGUCGGAUGUGAAAACCCGGAACUCAACUCCGGGCCUGCAUUCGAUACGGGCAGACUUGAGUACUGCAGGGGAGACUGGAAUUCCUGGUGUAGCGGUGGAAUGCGCAGAUAUCAGGAGGAACACCAAUAGCGAAGGCAGCUCGCUGGGACGGUACUGACGCUAAGGCGCGAAAGCGUGGGGAGCGAACAGG